GUUAUCUGCUCAGGGCGAACGCUGGCGGCGUGCAUAACACAUGCAAGUCGAACGGAAAGGCCUCAGCUUGCUGGGGUACUCGAGUGGCGAACGGGUGAGUAACACGUGGGUGAUCUGCCUUGCACUCUGGGAUAAGCUUGGGAAACUGGGUCUAAUACCGGAUAUGAACUGCCUUUAGUGUGGUAGUUGGAAAGUUUUUUCGGUGCAAGAUGAGCUCGCGGCCUAUCAGCUUGUUGGUGGGGUAAUGGCCUACCAAGGCGUCGACGGGUAGCCGGCCUGAGAGGGUGUACGGCCACAUUGGGACUGAGAUACGGCCCAGACUCCUACGGGAGGCAGCAGUGGGGAAUAUUGCACAAUGGGCGGAAGCCUGAUGCAGCGACGCCGCGUGGGGGAUGACGGCCUUCGGGUUGUAAACUCCUUUCGACAGGGACGAAGCUUUUUGUGACGGUACCUGUAUAAGAAGCACCGGCUAACUACGUGCCAGCAGCCGCGGUAAUACGUAGGGUGCGAGCGUUGUCCGGAAUUACUGGGCGUAAAGAGCUCGUAGGUGGUUUGUCGCGUCGUCUGUGAAAUUCCGGGGCUUAACUUCGGGCGUGCACGGCGAUACGGGCAUAACUUGAGUGCUGUAGGGGAGACUGGAAUUCCUGGUGUAGCGGUGAAAUGCGCAGAUAUCAGGAGGAACACCCGAUGGCGAAGGCAUG
RNAcentral lists this ribosomal RNA (701 nucleotides) under Corynebacterium sp. KSUM_59. Its description in RNAcentral is "bacterial SSU rRNA". It matches the Rfam family "Bacterial small subunit ribosomal RNA", at positions 15 to 725 of the family's 1533-position model. The record is from RNAcentral. Lineage: Bacteria; Bacillati; Actinomycetota; Actinomycetes; Mycobacteriales; Corynebacteriaceae.